AAAAAAAAAAAAAAAAAAAAGCCUGUAAGCACUGCCAUACAAGUAUUAAACAGAGAAAACUACGAAUAGAGAAGGCAAAUCACUAUAUAUUAGUAAUGAAUCGAAAGCUACAAAGUUUCCCGGAUAUACCCAGCAAUCUCCAGUGCUUCACGAUGCCAAAAUCUCUCUUAUUUCUGCCAGCUUCGAAAAAUCAACUUCACAGAAAUAACUUCUUAAAGCAAUAAGAUGACACCGUUGCCUAAGCGCACUGGUAAGCUCGCUAGUGCCAGAAUAAAGAAUUCGGCAACCAAGAAGGGGCAAAGCCUAAGCUUCAAACAAAACUAGAAACUAAAGCCUUCCAAGUAAUAUACACAUCCAAGAGGUUGGUUUAAAUAUAGAUUUGCCUACGUUAGAACACAGAGUCUAAAUAACAGUUGUAAUGCGUCCUGUUGAAUUCUAAUAAGCUACCAUAAGUGCGGUCAGCAACCCCUACAAAGAGAGCUUCUGCAUCAGGGCUGAAGGAUAUACCAGCAAUCUCCCCAAAAAUGUCAAUCUCCUGGCACUUGACAUACCCAGAUUCUGCAUCAAAGACAUGAACAAAGUCUGCAGGCUCUGCCAUUGCCAAAAACCGGCCAUCUGAAGUGAACCUUAGUGCUCUUAUUGCACCCAUAUUUCCUUUCAACAUAGCCAAGGACUUGGAUAGAUUCCUUAUAUCCCAUAGCCUGCAUGUUGUAUCUUGAUUUCCAGUGGCUAAAAUUCGUCCAUCAGGGUGCCAAACUGAUGCAAAAGAAUAGUCCAAAUGACCUUUCAGGUUCCCAGUUAUCUUCCCAGAACUGGCAUCAAUGAUCAAGCACUCUGUACUGUCCCCGAGGACUGCAAACAAUUUACCAUCUGGGCUAACAGAGGUGUUCUGAGAAUGACAAUUCAACCAACAAUGUAAGCAUCAGAUACAAGACAAAAAGCAGUCCAGAAUCAAUUUGCAAGAACUCUCUCAUGGAGGGCACUCACAUUUACAGACCAAUCAAAGGAGAAACAAUUUACACAAGCAAAACUUUCAGCAUCAUAAACUCUAACAGCGGCAUCGUUGUUUGCGGUCAUAAUCCUCAGUAAGCCACUGUGGAAAUAAAAGGUUCAGUUGUCUGUCUUGGAGGAAAGAUGAAUAAUUUCACAAUUUGUAUCCGGAUGACUUCCUUACUUGUGGUUAUGGUAUAUAUUCACUGCAUUGGUAAUGGCAUUUUCAUCUGUUGUUACUUUGGUACAGAACGCAACUCCAGGUUGAUUCAAAUACUGGCCCCCAAAAACAAUAUAUAUAUAUAUUAGUAAAAAAAGAAAAAAAGAAAAGGAAAAAACAAAAUGUGUCAUGUUAAAUAGUAAUCAUGGCAGGCAUAUAACUAGCCAUUUGCAUACUCUGCAAAUAAGUUCCCCUUGAAAACCACCAGCAACGAGCAAGUUUUCUUUAACAGCCAUAGUGCUUAUUUGCACUCUUGAGAGUGACUGAGACAACAACCCUGGGCGUUUCAUGGUAGGAACAAUUGGAGUAGCCACAUUGAGUACUUCUUUGCCUCUACGCAAUAAUGAUGACCAGUGCAUUACUGAGUAAUUUUGCAUAAGGUAUACAUCAUGCUUUGAUGUUGCCCAUAUAAGAUUCCUCAACUGCAAAGUGCAAGACAUACCAAAUGGAAAAGAACAUCUAUAACCAAACAAGAAAUAUUAUAUUGAGAAAACAGGCCUUAUCAAUCUGUAAUGAUCUCAACACAUAUAAAAGCACCAAGCUAUAAAAUGAAGAGAAAGAUUCCCUAGAGAUUAAGAGAUGCAAUUGAGACCAAACCUUUCAACAAGGAAGUUGGAAACAAAAACUACAACUAAAGACCUUUAGAAAAGGUUAAGGCUAAGAUGUAUCCAAUACCGAUUACUAGCAUAUUCCUAUAAUAAUACCAAAGAAAAAAAAAGGCAGCAAAAAUAACAGCAUUCUUGCUUUUAGAUUAUGAUUUGUAUAGGCAUAACAAGGUACUAAACAUAAAAAAACUGAGGAAUUACAGGCAUUAAAAGAAAGAUCACCACAUAAAUGAUAUUAGCUAAUAAAUCAAGUGAACAAAAAAAAAUUCACAAAAUUAAACAUGAGAAAGACACACAAGCUACAGCAAAGCUCUAGAUGCAUAUGAUGGAAACAAUAUAAGUGAAGCAAUUAGAAAUACAUAUUUCGUGUUAAUAAGACCCCUUGAGAUGGAACAUCUAUGCUACUUUACUACAGGAAUUGGGACAGAGUCCUCUUAAAUACUCGAAUAUUUUCCUAUCAUACCAUAUAAACAAUGUAUCCUUAAUUGCGCCAGCUGCUCAGACAUAACUUCCACCCUGCUUAAAAUGCUGAAAUGAAAAGUAAUAGCAAUCCCAAAUGCCACAGAUGGGUUAAAGCCAUAUGAUAUAUUCAACAAUCAAAAGGAAAGAACAUAGGCAAAUAGAUAUCACAAGCAUUUAAAAAAAAAGAAAAAGGUAUAGACCAAAGCUUCACGUUUCCAUGGCUUAUCCGGAAACUCAUCAGCAUGAGUAAUUCAAAAUGAAUCCAUGCAAGAGCAGUUAAACAUGGAUGAGGCAACAGAAUAUUAACUAGCUAGCUGGACAUCAUGAUUUUAAUAUUUUAUACUUUCUAGUCUCCACAACUUUUUAGACUGAUCCCUAGAAAUCAUCUUCGAAGAGUAAGUAUGCAUGCUGCACUCAACAAAUCUCUAUUAUAUAGCUUGUCUGCAGGUGUGUUUAUUAAUGUGUUAGUGCAUCUAUUGUGUUAAACAGUCUCGUAACAACAAACACUCUCAAAUACAUGGGUUACUUUAACAGGAUUACAAAAUCAGAAAUGCCAUGUCUUACCAUGGCUGUGAUGCAUCAUUAUCUAUAACUCGGGAUCAGAACAUGUUGUCCAGCGAAAAGCUAAACUACUUGCUACGUAUUUAGGAUUUUACCUUCUAAAAUGGAUGUUUCAAUUUUAUUAAAUUUUGAGAAACUGUUAACACUGCAUUAAAGUAAGCAUCCCUUAGAAAUCUGCACAAAAAGGAUUUAGUGAAUACAAACCCCAACUUGAUGCCAGUAAGUUGGGAACACCAAAAAAUUUCUAAGAGAAAAAGAACCAAGUUCCAUGUCCAAAAGCCAAAAGUCUGUAGAUAAUAAGUUGUUCAUGAUGAAUUAAGUCAAACUUCAAAAAACAUGCUUUUACAUCCAGAAAGAUUUAAGUCGCCAGCUUGCUGGCCUGAAGAGAUAUUGGCAUAAUUGCCCCAAUGGACCAUAACUUAAUCUGGAAAACUUAAGCCAGUUGUUCAUAAGUUGAAUGAAUUAUAAUUUUAACAUAUGAAAAGGGAGCAAUAUCAAGCGUUAUACCUCCAACCGGUUCAGGCACAAAGCUAUAAUCACAUAUUAUCCUUAUAUGGAAUGAUGACCAUAACAAAAUUACAAGACCUGCAAAACUAUAAGACUAAUGAUACGUGCAUAAUCCAAAUUCAAUUAAUAUGCGAGAUAAGAGUAACAUUCGACAUCAGGAGUUGGACUCCUAAAGAUGAGCAUUGGAUUGUAUUUUAAUGUUCAACACUGAUCCCGUGUCAGGCACUCUUAACUAAUUUUUGUUGACAACAGAUCAAUUAACAGGAAGUGAUUGAGCUUGUGCUACAAGAAUAUGAAUUUUUCAUACUAAGCAAUUCAAUAGCUUAUGCCUAGAUCUAUGAUAUAAGGGACUUGGGCAACGAGAUUAUGAAUUAUGAAAUGUUCUUAUGCAUCAAAAGUGUGGAAGAGAAGAAGAGACACAAGUACGGCCGAAAGAAGAAACAAAGAGAAGAGAAAACGAAACAAGACGAGAUAAACAGAAAGAAGUAUGCUGAUAAUAAAUUUUUAGAACCAAGAAAUUGAAAAUUGAAACAUUAAAACGAGACGCAUGCGACAUCUAACUGGAUGGGAAGUUUUUUAAAUGGAUAGAGCAUGGAAAAUCAAAAGAAAUGAGAGCAAAGAGCCAAAAGUCUCUACCUGAAAAUGCACAAUUGUGGAUUUGACAAGCCUUGUGUUGAACUGGAAGUCAUAAAAGGUCUUUCCCUUCUCUACUUGCAAGCACUCCUUGUCUAGCCCUUCGCGAGAGCGAGAGAGGUUCUCGUAGUUCUUAUACUGCUUUAAUCUAGCCUCACGAUACUUAUCCCUAGUGAAAUUAAGCCUUUCCCAGGGAAUUCCCUGUAUAUCUUUUCCAUUUCUAGCCUCCACAGCAGAGGUAUCUGUGUUUGAUUUACUCGACUCGAAAUCGUCUUCAAUGUCGGAGUCCACGGAAUCCAAAUCUGCAACUCUGUGAGGUUCGGGUUCAAGGAAAGGGUUAUCUUCGAAAUCAACGAAGUCGUAAUAAUCAUCGCCAAGGUAUUCGAGAUGAUCGCUGUGGAAGUAAUCCAUCACCCGUUAAAUUUGGUGGAUGAAGAGGUCUGAAAAUAUAAAAACAGAUGGAAAAAAGGAGAGCAAUUUCCCGAUGGUUUACCGAGAAAAAAACAGAAAAAAAAUUAUCUACGAUCAGAAAUUUUGGUUGGCUUCGGAAGGAAAGGGUUGAUUACGGUUACUGGUAGCGGGGAAGGAGAGAAUCAAUGUCAAAUUAGUAAAAGAGUGACAAAUCUGAGAAGCGUUUU
RNAcentral lists this unclassified non-coding RNA (4616 nucleotides) under Hevea brasiliensis (rubber tree). Lineage: Eukaryota; Viridiplantae; Streptophyta; Magnoliopsida; Malpighiales; Euphorbiaceae. The record is from RNAcentral.